Molecule: long non-coding RNA, 354 nt
Filed under: Struthio camelus australis
Lineage: Eukaryota; Metazoa; Chordata; Aves; Struthioniformes; Struthionidae
Description: lncRNA (ENSSCUG00000017214.1)
Source: RNAcentral
GUUUUAAAUGUAUGAGGUUUUUACAUAUCCUCACCACAAAGACGUGAGUUUGCGAAAUGAAUUUCCUUAAGAAACUUCUCCUCUGUGUUCCCACAGAUGCUAACGUGGAGCAGAGAGGAUCCUGAGCUACCAGAGACUUGCACCCCCAGCCACCCGGAGAUGCUGCACCCACUACCUUUUACAUACCUAACUCAUAGAUCUCCAGGACAUGUGAUAGCAAGCAAGAGUGGCUUAUAAGGACUUAGAAUCAGCACCUACAGCUGCAGGUAGGGUUACGCCUGAAUCACUGCCAAUCACUGAAUCACUGAAUCACUGGCAACGCUAUUUCCUUCUUUUUGCUACAUUAAUCUAUGG